Molecule: long non-coding RNA, 780 nt
Filed under: Jatropha curcas
Lineage: Eukaryota; Viridiplantae; Streptophyta; Magnoliopsida; Malpighiales; Euphorbiaceae
Description: long non-coding RNA (JCUR_LNC001435)
Source: RNAcentral
CCACACAAACAAAGCAUAGCAUUAUCACAACACAGUUAAUCAAACAUUGCAAUUAAAUGCAGACAUAUUGAUCAACUACAUAUCGAAAUGUAAUGCACGAUUAGACAUUCAUACUCAAAUGCAAACAAACAAAUAAAUAAAUAAUAUUGACAAUAAACAACAAUGAUGAAAUAAAUAAAUAAUUGAAUAAUUAAAUGAACAAUCAUGAUAAUAGUAAAAUAAUCAUAACAAGUUAUAGAAUUAAUCUAAAUAAACUUAUUGAUUAUGUUAUUAAUUAAAUCUAGACUAGGUUCUAGCGAAAUUUCGGCAGCACCUCCCCUUAUAAGUUGGACUAUCUACCGGCUCAAAUAUCCCAAUAUUAUGAUAUAUUUAUCAAUCAGUGCACACAGCCCAUCCGUCGGGCAAUCAAUCAAUUUAAAAUCCCAUCCUCCUUUCAAAACAACUAUAUCGACACUCAACCAAAAAUUUAUAAACGAAUUUUAAUAAUAUCCAUCUAAAAUCAUUUAUUAAGUCAUUAGUUAACUAAAUUAAUAGCUUUACAGUAACUAAUUUGUUAAGCAGCUAAAACAUAUUUAACAAUAACUAAUUAUAACUACUACCUAUUAAAAUUCGGUUUUUAUAUCAAUAUAAAAAAAUGGCUAGCCCUCCCAAAUCUUAAUUUAUUAAAAUCUCGGAUCUAACCGUUAACCAACUAAAAUUCGCCUUACCUUUCUUAUGCACGAUCGGCUAAUUUUAAACUAAUGAUUAUCUAAUUAACUAAUUAACUAAUUCUAAUUUANN